Molecule: transfer RNA, 74 nt
Filed under: Pseudomonas sp. SWRI 103
Lineage: Bacteria; Pseudomonadati; Pseudomonadota; Gammaproteobacteria; Pseudomonadales; Pseudomonadaceae
Description: tRNA-Ser
Rfam family: tRNA
About the family: Transfer RNA (tRNA) molecules are approximately 80 nucleotides in length. Their secondary structure includes four short double-helical elements and three loops (D, anti-codon, and T loops).
Source: RNAcentral
UGGCAGAGUGGUUGAAUGCACCGGUCUUGAAAACCGGCGAACGUUAAUAGCGUUCCCAGGGUUCGAAUCCCUGG